UCCUCAGUGAUCUGACCUCUUCGGCUGCCU
Molecule: non-coding RNA, 30 nt
Filed under: Mus musculus (house mouse)
Lineage: Eukaryota; Metazoa; Chordata; Mammalia; Rodentia; Muridae
Source: RNAcentral